AUUGAACGCUGGCGGCAGGCCUAACACAUGCAAGUCGAGCGGAUGAAGGGAGCUUGCUCCUGGAUUCAGCGGCGGACGGGUGAGUAAUGCCUAGGAAUCUACCUGGUAGUGGGGGAUAACGUCCGGAAACGGGCGCUAAUACCGCAUACGUCCUGAGGGAGAAAGUGGGGGAUCUUCGGACCUCACGCUAUCAGAUGAGCCUAGGUCGGAUUAGCUAGUUGGUGGGGUAAAGGCCUACCAAGGCGACGAUCCGUAACUGGUCUGAGAGGAUGAUCAGUCACACUGGAACUGAGACACGGUCCAGACUCCUACGGGAGGCAGCAGUGGGGAAUAUUGGACAAUGGGGGAAAGCCUGAUCCAGCCAUGCCGCGUGUGUGAAGAAGGUCUUCGGAUUGUAAAGCACUUUAAGUUGGGAGGAAGGGCAGUAAGUUAAUACCUUGCUGUUUUGACGUUACCAACAGAAUAAGCACCGGCUAACUUCGUG
Molecule: ribosomal RNA, 484 nt
Filed under: uncultured bacterium
Lineage: Bacteria
Description: partial 16S ribosomal RNA
Rfam family: Bacterial small subunit ribosomal RNA
Source: RNAcentral